GACGGCCCCUCAUGUGGUGUCAUCCUGUCGAACUCCCCCAGGACCGGAAGGUAGCAAGGGUAGAUGGGCUCUGGCAGGUGCAUGAGGGGCCUUUACU
This 97-nucleotide signal recognition particle RNA is filed under the name Paeniglutamicibacter antarcticus. Its description in RNAcentral is "signal recognition particle sRNA small type". It matches the Rfam family "Bacterial small signal recognition particle RNA". Rfam says of the family: The signal recognition particle (SRP) is a universally conserved ribonucleoprotein involved in the co-translational targeting of proteins to membranes. Archaeal SRP consists of a 7S RNA and homologues of the eukaryotic SRP19 and SRP54 proteins. RNAcentral also lists the same sequence under 1 other name. Lineage: Bacteria; Bacillati; Actinomycetota; Actinomycetes; Micrococcales; Micrococcaceae. The record is from RNAcentral.